Panthera uncia (snow leopard) is the source of this 641-nucleotide long non-coding RNA. RefSeq lists it as uncharacterized. The transcript is spliced from 2 exons. The record is from RefSeq and is a predicted model, not a curated record. Lineage: Eukaryota; Metazoa; Chordata; Mammalia; Carnivora; Felidae.
AAUGCAGCAGGGAGCCGCGGUUACCAUCAGCUCCGUCAUCCUUGGGGAAAGGCCCCCUUGCCUAUUUCGAUCUGCCAUCUCGUGGCUGUGGCCGUUCUCAUCUCAACCCUGCUGUGAGGUCACGGGUUUGGAGGCCGGCAGAAGGAUCCCCAAGCAUUUCCCACUGUGAUCUCACAAUACUGGCUCCCGCCCUCCUGGCUCUGCCACAGGGAGCAAUUCCAGCUCCCGAGUCUGGAGGGAUGUCUUUGUGAAAUCUCUUGGCUCUUUAGACAUCAGGUCAGACACGAAGCUCUGCUUAGAAGCCCUAACGCUGUGGGCUUUCAUCCCCCCGCCCCUCCCAGAGCACUAUGCUGGUCUCGAUCGAGAGGCACACACGACUGGAGAAGUGGCUGGCUUUGCAUUUCUGCUUAUGACUUCCGUUUGUUACUGACACCCCACCUCGGCGGUGCGCACCCGGCGAGCCGUGGCAGGCGCCCGAGCCUGGGUUCACGAACGCAGAGAGGAGCCACAGGGACGGGACAGAGCGGAGAAAUGGGAAAGGGGGGUUUGUCGGGAUGUCAACUGUUGACAUCUAAUUAAAACAACUUUCUAAACAAGACUUUACUUAUGUAAAGUUUUAAUUAGUAAAGAUACUUAUAGUU